This 478-nucleotide ribosomal RNA is filed under the name uncultured bacterium. RNAcentral describes it as "partial 16S ribosomal RNA". It matches the Rfam family "Bacterial small subunit ribosomal RNA", at positions 28 to 507 of the family's 1533-position model. The record is from RNAcentral.
GACGAACGCUGGCGGCGUGCUUAAUACAUGCAAGUCGAACGGGCUGCCUGGUUUUCGGAUCGGGUGGUGAGUGGCGAACGGGUGAGUAACACGUGAGUAACCUGCCCCUCUCUUUGGGAUAACGUCGGGAAAUCGGCGCUAAUACCGGGUAUUCUGGCUUCCUCGCAUGGGGUUGUUGGGAAAGGUCUUUUCUGGUGGGGGAUGGGCUCGCGGCCUAUCAGCUUGUUGGUGGGGUGAUGGCCUACCAAGGCGGUGACGGGUAGCCGGCCGGAGAGGGUGUCCGGCAACACUGGGACUGAGACACGGCGCAGACUCCUACGGGAGGCAGCAGUGGGGAAUAUUGCACAAUGGGCGGAAGCCUGAUGCAGCGACGCCGCGUGGGGGAUGACGGCCUUCGGGUUGUAAACCUCUUUCAGUGCAGAACAAGGCUCUUUGUGGGUUGAGGGUAUGCGCAGAAGAAGCGCCGGCUAACUACGUG